GACAGAGGGGGCAAGCGUUGCUCGGAAUCACUGGGCGUAAAGGGCGCGUAGGCGGGCUGGCAAGUCGGUCGUGAAAUCCCUGGGCUCAACUCAGGGGGGUCGGCCGAUACUGCCGUUCUUGAGGGAUGCAGAGGAGACUGGAAUUCCCGGUGUAGCGGUGAAAUGUGUAGAGAUCGGGAGGAACACCGGUGGCGAAGGCGGGUCUCUGGGCAUUCCCUGACGCUGAGGCGCGAAAGCGUGGGGAGCAAACGGG
This 253-nucleotide ribosomal RNA is filed under the name uncultured bacterium. RNAcentral's name for it is "partial 16S ribosomal RNA". It matches the Rfam family "Bacterial small subunit ribosomal RNA", at positions 524 to 776 of the family's 1533-position model. The record is from RNAcentral.